UGAGGAAUCUUCCACAAUGGGCGAAAGCCUGAUGGAGCGACGCCGCGUGAAGGAUGAAGGUCGAAAGGUUGUAAACUUCUUUUCUGAGGGAGCAUAUUGAGAGUACUUCAGGAAUAAGGGACGGCAAAUCUCGUGCCAGCAGCCGCGGUAAUACGAGAGUCCCAAGCAUUGCCCGGAAUCACUGGGUGUAAAGAGUUUGUAGGUGGUUUGAUAAGUCCUGUGUGAAAGACCGAAGCUUAACUUCGCGUUUGUACUGGAAACUAUCAUUCUAGAAUCAGGAAGAGGUAAGCGGAAUUUUAAGUGUAGGGGUGCAAUCCGUAGAUACUUAAAAGAACACCAAAAGCGAAGGCAGCUUACUGGUACUGUAUUGACACUGAGAAACGAAAGCGUGGGGAGCAAAAAGG
This 404-nucleotide ribosomal RNA is filed under the name uncultured bacterium. RNAcentral describes it as "bacterial SSU rRNA". It matches the Rfam family "Bacterial small subunit ribosomal RNA", at positions 355 to 776 of the family's 1533-position model. The record is from RNAcentral.